Molecule: ribosomal RNA, 460 nt
Filed under: uncultured bacterium
Lineage: Bacteria
Description: partial 16S ribosomal RNA
Rfam family: Bacterial small subunit ribosomal RNA
Source: RNAcentral
CCUACGGGAGGCAGCAGUGAGGAAUAUUGGUCAAUGGACGAGAGUCUGAACCAGCCAAGUAGCGUGAAGGAUGACUGCCCUAUGGGUUGUAAACUUCUUUUAUAAAGGAAUAAAAUGAGGCACGUGUGCAUUUUUGCAUGUACUUUAUGAAUAAGGAUCGGCUAACUCCGUGCCAUCAGCCGCGGUAAUACGGAGGAUCCGAGCGUUAUCCGGAUUUAUUGGGUUUAAAGGGAGCGUAGAUGGGUUGUUAAGUCAGUUGUGAAAGUUUGCGGCUCAACCGUAAAAUUGCAAUUGAUACUGGCAGUCUUGAGUACAGUUGAGGUAGGCGGAAUUCGUGGUGUAGCGGUGAAAUGCUUAGAUAUCACGAAGAACCCCGAUUGCGAAGGCAGCUUACUAAGCUGUGACUGACAUUGAGGCUCGAAAGUGUGGGUAUCAAACAGGAUUAGAUACCCUGGUAGUC